UAUAUAUUUGUAUCUCUACAUAUGAUAUCAUGAUGGUAAUUAGCACAGUUUACCAAAUAGCCUGAUUCUCCUCUUUACACCCUCAUGGUGGGACUGCGCAUCCCCCAUCCCUCUGAGGUUAGCCAUGACCAUGUAACCUGCUUCAGCGAAUCAAAUCUGAGCUGAAGUGAUGCAUCACUUCUGGGUAGACGUUUUAAAAACCAGUGCAAAUUCACCACCACAUGCUCUUUCCCUCCCUCAGUGACUCAUGAAAGCAGGUGUCACAAUGGGAGACCACGAUCUCAAUAACCAAGAUGAUGAGAGACCCCUGCUCCCCAACCCCACCAGCCCACAUUGAACCCAAAGCAUGGGCAAGAAAUAAACUUUGGUUGUAUUAAGCCACUGCUAUUUUAUGGUUCUUACCAUAGCACAAUUUAGCCAUCCUGAUAUGUACAAGAAUAAGAAAAAAAUCUGGGCCAGGCACGGUGGCUCACACCUGUAAUUCCAGCACUUUGAGAGGACAAGGAAUGCAGAUCACAAGGAGCUCCUGGAGGGCAAGGAGUGUAUCCUGUUCACAUCUACAUCUGCGACCUCCAGCCCAGUGUUUACCAAUAGAGAGCACAGAAUUGAAGCCUGGUUUCAAAUGGAAUGCAUAUUUCAAAUGCUAGCUCUGUCCCUUACUAGCUAUGUGGCCUCAGGGCCCAGCAAAGAACUUGGCACCUCCAAAGUGGACAUUUACGGAAUGAGUGAACGAACCUGGGCUGGGAUGUAUUAGUCCAUCUGGCCCCAUCUCUCCGAGCAAACGAGAUCUGGCCUGCUUUAUGUCUCUCUCUCCCACAGGGAUAAGCUAAGUGGAGGCCCCACUUGGGCCAAUCUGCCUAGCCUGACUCCAUAGCCUGGUUUUAUUUGCUGGAUUCUCCCUUCAUUAAGACCACGGCACUGACAAGUUGUCCAGUUGUACCUUUUCUAGCCCUCAUAUCUCUGGCCUGGACCUGGGGCCCUGCCUAGAAACCCAGAUACUUUAGAACUGAGAGCCUGCCUUUGUUUUCCCCAAGUUUCCCCAGCAUGAAAGUUCCCCUCUGAAUCCCAAGCCCCAAGGCUGGGGGCCCAGACACUUGGAGUCAAACUUCCCCAACGGCUACACCCUAUCCACCUGGAAGUCGGUUCUGCCUGAUCCUUGACUUCCCUCCAAACCAAAUGCACUUUUUCCUAUUGGGACAUCAACCCUCUGACCACAUCAGUCCUUUCUGUGGCCAUCUCUCUGUAUGUUCCAACUUAAUGAAACCAUUACCGAGCAUCUACCAUAGCCAAGGCACAGGGCUAAGAACCUGAGUCCUCUGUUACCCGCAGCAGAUCCCUGUUACCACUGGCUGUGUCCACACUCAGCUAUCCUUAAUCAAACUCCUGACACUCCUGAAAGCACAUUAAAUACCUUAUAUGCUGCAAAUAAAGUCAAAUGGCUUUAUCCACGUAGCCAAUUGCAACAGACACCUCUAGAGUCACUGGUGCUACAUUCCAUCCCCUGCCAGUCUAAAAUGGGCUCAGGGAUGAUAACUCAUGUAUUCAUUCACCCUUUCAUUCACUGCUUACUGACACAUGCCGUAAGCCAAGCCUGGAAUAUAAAAUACAGUGCCUGAUUUUAUACCACUGAUCAUGAGGACAGUGGUGGUGCUGGUGGUGGUGAUGGUGAUGAUGGUGGAAGAAGAGAGAAAGGAGAAGGUGGUAACGUAAGUUACCAUUUAUUGCAGACUUGUGCUAUAAAACACUAAGUAGUGAGUCUUCUAAUGCUAACAAGAUGAUGAGAUAAGUAUAAUUGGCCUCACUUUACAGAGAAGGUAAUAGGCUGAAGAGGUGAAGCAACUUACUCAAGGUCACACAGCUAAGUAGCAAAGUGUAGUGAGACCCUAGGCCUGUCUGCCUCCAAAAUAAAAAGUGUUCCUCUGCCCAAGAGUCACACAGCAAGUGCUAAACAAAUAUAACUUCAAUGAAGAAGUGAGAGAGCGGGUCCGGGGCCCCAGGGGCUUACAAGCUGGUGGAGGAGACAGACGUACACAUAUCUACAAGCAGAGGCAAAUGCUGAUGGCUGAGACAUAAAAAGAGCUGCAGGGAGGCAGAGGAGUGAGUGGCUAACUUGACCUGGAGGGGUCUGGGGGGCCCUCUUGGAGGAAGUGAUUUUGGGGGGUAGGCCUUGAAGGAUGAGCACUUUGCGGCUGACAAGCAGGCCCGAGCGUGGUGCACCGCAGGAGCUCAGCCCUCGCCCGCCGACCUGACCUGGGCCGUGCCGAGACCUCUGAGGUCGUCCUGUCCACCCCACUGUGCCCACGCGGCCGGGUCGGGCCGG
Molecule: long non-coding RNA, 2320 nt
Filed under: Homo sapiens (human)
Lineage: Eukaryota; Metazoa; Chordata; Mammalia; Primates; Hominidae
Description: HSALNT0354758
Source: RNAcentral